Molecule: ribosomal RNA, 253 nt
Filed under: uncultured bacterium
Lineage: Bacteria
Description: partial 16S ribosomal RNA
Rfam family: Bacterial small subunit ribosomal RNA
Source: RNAcentral
UACGAAGGGUGCAAGCGUUACUCGGAAUUACUGGGCGUAAAGCGUGCGUAGGUGGUUCGUUAAGUCUGAUGUGAAAGCCCUGGGCUCAACCUGGGAAUGGCAUUGGAAACUGGCGACCUAGAGUGCGGUAGAGGGUAGCGGAAUUCCCGGUGUAGCAGUGAAAUGCGUAGAGAUCGGGAGGAACAUCUGUGGCGAAGGCGACUGCCUGGACCAGCACUGACACUGAGGCACGAAAGCGUGGGGAGCAAACAGG